GAUGAACGCUAGCGGGAGGCUUAAUACAUGCAAGUCGAACGGUAACAUUGGAGCUUGCUUCAGAUGACGAGUGGCGCACGGGUGAGUAACGCGUACACUACCUACCUUUUACUGGGGGACAUACACUGGAAACGGAGUAAAUACCCCAUAGUAUCCUUUGGGAUUAAAGUUUCGGCGGUAAAAGAUGGGUGUGCGUACUAUUAGCUAGUUGGUGAGGUAACGGCUCACCAAGGCGACGAUAGUUAGGGGGCGUGAGAGCGUGGCCCCCCACACGGGUACUGAGACACGGACCCGACUCCUACGGGAGGCAGCAGUAAGGAAUAUUGGACAAUGGGCGGAAGCCUGAUCCAGCCAUCCCGCGUGAAGGAUGAAGGCCCUCUGGGUUGUAAACUUCUUUUAGAUAGGAAGAAACGUCUUUAUUAAUAAGGGCCUGACGGUACUAUCAGAAUAAGCACCGGCUAACUCCG
This 467-nucleotide ribosomal RNA is filed under the name uncultured Saprospiraceae bacterium. RNAcentral describes it as "bacterial SSU rRNA". It matches the Rfam family "Bacterial small subunit ribosomal RNA", at positions 28 to 505 of the family's 1533-position model. The record is from RNAcentral. Lineage: Bacteria; Pseudomonadati; Bacteroidota; Saprospiria; Saprospirales; Saprospiraceae.